Molecule: ribosomal RNA, 497 nt
Filed under: uncultured bacterium
Lineage: Bacteria
Description: partial 16S ribosomal RNA
Rfam family: Bacterial small subunit ribosomal RNA
Source: RNAcentral
GAUGAACGCUGGCGGCGUGCCUAAUACAUGCAAGUCGAGCGAACAGACGAGGAGCUUGCUCCUCUGACGUUAGCGGCGGACGGGUGAGUAACACGUGGAUCACCUACCUCUAAGACUGGGAUAACUUCGGGAAACCGGCGCUAAUACCGGAUAAUAUAUUGAACCGCAUUGUUCAAUAGUGAAACACGGUUUUGCUGUCACCUAUAGAUGGAUCCGCGCCGCAUUAGCUUGUUGGUAAGGUACCGGCUUACCAAGGCGACGAUGCGUAGCCGACCUGAGAGGAUGAUCGGCCACACUGGAACUGAGACACGGUCCAGACUCCUACGGGAGGCAGCAGUAGGGAAUCUUCAGCAAUGGGCGAAAGCCUGACGGAGCAACGCCGCGUGAGUGAUGAAGGUCUUCGGAUCGUAAAACUCUGUUAUUAGGAAAGAACAAAAGCAUAAUUACAGGUAGACGUCGUGACGGUACCUAAUCAGAAAGCUACGGCUAACUACGUG